UGGGUGACCUGCCCUCAGCUCUGGGAUAAGCCUGGGAAACUGGGUCUAAUACUGGAUAUGACUGCGCAUCGCAUGGUGUGUGGUGGAAAGUCCUGGGCUUAAUUGUCUGGGUUCGGCUGGGGAUGGGCCCGCGGCCUAUCAGCUUGUUGGUGGGGUGAUGGCCUACCAAGGCGACGACGGGUAGCCGGCCUGAGAGGGCGUCCGGCCACACUGGGA
Molecule: ribosomal RNA, 216 nt
Filed under: uncultured bacterium
Lineage: Bacteria
Description: partial 16S ribosomal RNA
Rfam family: Bacterial small subunit ribosomal RNA
Source: RNAcentral